CGCGGCCUAUCAGCUUGUUGGUGGGGUAAUGGCCUACCAAGGCGACGACGGGUAGCCGGCCUGAGAGGGCGACCGGCCACACUGGGACUGAGACACGGCCCAGACUCCUACGGGAGGCAGCAGUGGGGAAUAUUGCGCAAUGGGCGAAAGCCUGACGCAGCGACGCCGCGUGGGGGAUGACGGCCUUCGGGUUGUAAACCUCUUUCAGCAGGGACGAAGUUGACGUGUACCUGCAGAAGAAGCGCCGGCUAACUACGUGCCAGCAGCCGCGGUAAUACGUAGGGCGCAAGCGUUGUCCGGAAUUAUUGGGCGUAAAGAGCUCGUAGGUGGCUUGUCACGUCGGGUGUGAAAGCUUGGGGCUUAACUCCAGGUCUGCAUUCGAUACGGGCUGGCUAGAGGUAGGUAGGGGAGAACGGAAUUCCUGGUGUAGCGGUGAAAUGCGCAGAUAUCAGGAGGAACACCGGUGGCGAAGGCGGUUCUCUGGGCCUUACCUGACGCUGAGGAGCGAAAGCGUGGGGAGCGAACAGGAUUAGAUACCCUAGUAGUCCACGCUGUAAACGUUGGGCGCUAGGUGUGGGGACCUUCCACGGUUUCCGCGCCGUAGCUAACGCAUUAAGCGCCCCGCCUGGGGAGUACGG
This 638-nucleotide ribosomal RNA is filed under the name uncultured Actinomycetes bacterium. RNAcentral describes it as "bacterial SSU rRNA". It matches the Rfam family "Bacterial small subunit ribosomal RNA", at positions 232 to 885 of the family's 1533-position model. Lineage: Bacteria; Bacillati; Actinomycetota; Actinomycetes. The record is from RNAcentral.